AGAACGAACGCUGGCGGCGUGGAUAAGACAUGCAAGUCGAACGCGACUUAUCUGAUUAGCAAUAAUGAGGUAAGUUGAGUGGCGAAAGGGUGCGUAACACGUGGGAAUUUACCAAGAAGUGGGGAAUAGCUCGACGAAAGUCGAAUUAAUACCGCAUAUGAUCGCAAGAUCAAAGCCGGGGACCGCAAGGCCUGGCGCUUUUUGAGAAGCCCGCGGCCCAUCAGCUAGUUGGCGGGGUAACGGCCCACCAAGGCUAUGACGGGUAGCUGGUCUGAGAGGACGACCAGCCACACUGGAACUGAGACACGGUCCAGACACCUACGGGUGGCAGCAGUCGAGAAUUUUUCACAAU
RNAcentral lists this ribosomal RNA (352 nucleotides) under uncultured bacterium. Its description in RNAcentral is "SSU rRNA". It matches the Rfam family "Bacterial small subunit ribosomal RNA", at positions 26 to 372 of the family's 1533-position model. The record is from RNAcentral.